This 253-nucleotide ribosomal RNA is filed under the name uncultured bacterium. Its description in RNAcentral is "partial 16S ribosomal RNA". It matches the Rfam family "Bacterial small subunit ribosomal RNA", at positions 524 to 776 of the family's 1533-position model. The record is from RNAcentral.
UACGGAGGGUGCGAGCGUUGUUCGGAAUUAUUGGGCGUAAAGCGCGCGUAGGCGGGUCGACGAGUCCGGUGUGAAAUCCCUCGGCUCAGCCGGGGAAUUGCACUGGAUACUGGCGACCUUGAGUCCUGGAGAGGGUGGCGGAAUUCCCAGUGUAGAGGUGAAAUUCGUAGAUAUUGGGAGGAACACCGGUGGCGAAGGCGGCCACCUGGACAGUGACUGACGCUGAGGCGCGAAAGCAUGGGUAGCAAACAGG